This is a long non-coding RNA of Dicentrarchus labrax (European seabass), 2575 nucleotides long. RefSeq lists it as uncharacterized. NCBI's taxonomy places the organism in Eukaryota, Metazoa, Chordata, Actinopteri, Moronidae. The record is from RefSeq and is a predicted model, not a curated record. The transcript has 3 exons.
CCUGUACACAGCAACAGAAGAUCAAUCAGUUGCUGCUGUAACAACCUACAGUCUGUGUUAUAAACCUGAGUGCAGUUUUAUCAUCUGAUGAAUCUUCAAACUACUGAACUUCCUGGAUUUUUACAGUGGACAUGUUUUUUUCAUCCAGAUAAUUAAAGGAUUAUUUGAGGAUUCUGGAAACUUUUAAAGAAGCAGAAAGUCUCGUUUGACAAAUCUACAUUUAUUACAUAUAAUGAUGUUUUUAUUUCUCUGUAGUAAUAAAUGCAGUGCCUUGUCCUAAAUAAUGGUCAGGUCAUUAAAUGUUCAGUUUCAGUGUCAUAUGACAGAUUAAGGGUAAUAAUGAGAUAAAUACAGUACUAAUGCUGGUACUAUCGACAGUCACCUACAAUAAUUAUUCAUUAAUAAUUACUUUAUCUGUUUUAAGGACUAAACUUGUUAAAACUCAGAUAGAAAUUCCAGGUUCAGGUCAGGUUGAUCGCCUGGAUAAUAUUUAAUGUACAGACCCGGAAAUUGGUGCGUGUUGUUAUUGAUGAACAGCCGGUGAAAACGUAAUAUCGUACGACCGACGUCCCCUGACCUAUAGCUACUCCCUCUCAUACACCGGAAGGACUCGCUGUCAGGAAACACGCGGAAUGGCUCCAUUCAAAUUUACUCGAUCCGUUGGUUUCAUCGUGUUUAAACUCCUGGUCAUUAUAAAUCUUUUUCCGGUUGCACAAGGUGAGCAAUGUUUGUGUGUGUGUGUGUGUGUGUGUGUGUGUGUGUGUGUGGAUCUGACUACCAUUUUACUUCACUACGCUGACUAACCUAACUAGCCUAGCCUAGCCUAGCCUAGCUUACUCGCAACCUGUCACAGCCACAUUAGCUGUUGAGUGAUGUUUCAGUUGCAGAGAACAUGUCUCUGCUACAGGUGAAUAGUUACAGCAGCUUAUUUCAGCCAACAGUACUUUAGAUGAGACGCUUUGCCUCGCUGGCAGCUGAGGCUGUUGAACGCUGUACGGAGGCUCCAUUAUCGGCCUUGCAUUCACCCCUCCUGCCCUGUUGGUGGCCAGAAAAUACCCCCACGUUAGAGUAGAAGACAUGCUCUAUCCUUUUUUACUGCUGUCAAUGGAUUUUUCUGUUAUUAUUAACUAUUUAUUGCCUUUGUUAGAAAAAACAUGAAUAUGUACAGAUGAGGAAAAUACACAGUGAGCAGAAUCCAGUUUAUUCAGGUAAAGACUCUGCUGUAGGACACUUUUAAAGAGGGAGAGACUCCUCCAGACAGCGAUCAAUUAUAUUAUUAUUAUUAUUAUUAUUAUAGUUGUAUGGAUUCAAAUAUGAUUUGUAUUGCAUACAAGUGCAGAGUGGGAGAGAUCAUUUCUUUAAUUCAUUACUUACAUGUCAAAAUUGUCUCUAAUAUAAAAGUGAAAAUGCUUUAUUUCCCUGAACAACUUUUUCUCUCUGGAUGUUUAUUGUUGGUUUUUAGGGCAACAAGUGAUAUCAGUGAAUCCUGGAGGUGAUGUCACUCUGCCAUGUUCAGCUGGUGAUGGCUCCAUCAGAGCUGUAGAGUGGACCAGAACUGACCUGGAGCCAGAGUACGUCCUCUAUUACAGUGAUGGACACUUAGAUCCAUACUACCAACAUCCAUCCUUUAAGGGUCGGGUGGAUCUGACAGACAGAGAGCUGAAGGAUGGAAACGUGUCUUUAGUUCUAAAGAACGUGAUCAUCAGUGACAGAGGAACAUAUGAGUGUCGAGUUGCUAAAGGUGGUUCAGACAACACAGGCAUCACUGACAGGAAGACAAUCAGAACCAUCCAACUGGAGGUCACAGCCUCAGGUUCCAACAGCAAAAACACCAUGGAUGGAGACUACAAAGACACAGCCAACAUGGAUGGAAACAAACACAUUGGACUGGCAGUUGGACUGAUAGCUUUCGGUCUGAUUUGUUCAGCUGUUGUUGUUGGAAUGGUUCUCUGGAAGAAAAAGAGUAAAUCAGAACCAGCUGCUGAUGAAGCAGUGGGUGAUCAGCUCCUCUGAACUGCCACAGAGCUCUUUACACCUGAACACAUCAUGAUACAACAUUAUUGUCUGUGCUGUUUGAGGCUCUCCGCUGUCUGUACGGUUCAGUGCAAACUAACAAUGUCUCCCCUCUGUGAAUUGCUACCUUAUCGUGGUGGAGGGGUUUGUGUACCCGUUGAUCCUGGGAGCUGUAUUGUCUGGAGCACUCAGCUCCUGGUGGGGUCUCCCACGACAAACUGGUCCCAGGAAAGGGUCAGACUAAAAGGAAUUCAAACAUUCAAUAUCAUUAAAUGAGCCAGGGAUGGAAAAAGUACUACAAUAUUCAGUUCAAGUGAAAUAGUUGAAUUCCUUAACCUGCACUCAGAUACAAGUAGGUAAGUAAGUGUAAGUCAGUAAAACUUUAUUUAUAUAGCACCUUUUUGACAAAGAGAUCCAAAGUGCUUUCCCAACAACAAAUAAACAAACAUAACAACACACAAAAACACAAACAUAGGGAGAAUGUAAAUACAAACAAAGAAAGAAAAAACAAGAGGGAAGGAUAGAUUAAAAGAUACACGACAGAUGAGAAAACAAACAAGGA